RNAcentral lists this long non-coding RNA (797 nucleotides) under Anas platyrhynchos platyrhynchos (common mallard). RNAcentral describes it as "lncRNA (ENSAPLG00000019983.1)". Lineage: Eukaryota; Metazoa; Chordata; Aves; Anseriformes; Anatidae. The record is from RNAcentral.
CUGGCUAAUGCCACGGAAACAAGCCCUCCGUACUAAUCUAGCACAAUCCAUGCAUGCUUCCACAUAUUUUGGCAGGGGAAAGUAGGAGUCCACUGACAAUGGCUUGGGAUAUUGCUAGCCACCGCUCCUGAAUUCAUACAUUUUUUAUCUCUGGCUGCCCUCUUUCAGGGACUGAUCCUGCAAGUAAUCCCUCGUGUGAACGGCAGCUGCCAGACCAGGCUUUUAUUUGGGAGCUCACCAAACGCCACUGACCUGGCUCCUCGCUGCUGCGCCAUGUGUGUGGGCAGCAGGGCACACGGGAAGGAGGGGCACCCACCUCUGCCACCAGCACCCAUGGAAGGGAGUUAUCGCACUCUUGUGCCUCAGUUUCCUAACCUCCCGACUCGAUUUCUCCUUCUGCAGGUGACUUCUUUCCACCUCAAUGGCUGCUGCAGGUGUUUGGACCAAGCACAGGGAUAAGCCCUCUCGCAUAUGCAGUUGGAUGGGAGGCUGCCUCCAAGGCAUGUGGAAACGGCAAAGCAGCGAUUCUCAGACAUCACAGGCUGCACAGCCAAAUGGGCACGGGGCAGUACACAGGUUAUUAAUCCCUGGCCUUUAAUAACAGCAGUGUUUCUCCUUUCACCAAGACAGCUUUUUAAGCAAGAGAGCCUCUUUAAUUUCUUGAAUAGCUUCCUUCGCUUUCAUUCUUAUAGAAGAAUCACAACUUCCUGGAAAAGAUGCUUUAAACAUUAAAAUACUGCACUACCAGGGCCUAGCAUACUUCGGAUUAAUAAAACUUGUAUCUUAAAAUAGAUGCA